AUGUUACUAGUAUAAAUUUCGUAUUAUGUUUUCCAAAAAAAUGAUCUAGAUUUAGGUGACAUA
This 63-nucleotide transfer RNA is filed under the name Echinococcus granulosus. RNAcentral's name for it is "tRNA-Gly". The record is from RNAcentral. Lineage: Eukaryota; Metazoa; Platyhelminthes; Cestoda; Cyclophyllidea; Taeniidae.